GUCAUCACUGACUACUCCAUAUUGCUCUGACGGACUCAUCUGAUGCCAAUGUAUUGCUUUGCCUUAUCAUCUUAUGGUCCUGAGACUUCUCAACCUCUGCUUCCAUCACCUCUCCUGAGGAAGGGGUCCUGAAGAGAAAACUAGAGUAGAUUUAAUUCCAAGUCAUCCAAAGAAAAAGUUCCUGACAAAAUAAUCAGGCCUGCCAUUUUGCAUACUAGCCAUCACCAAAGAGCAUGACAAGAUGGUCACCUGAAGAACAUUCUCUGUGACAAAAACAAUCGGACACUCUGUUCUAUGGUGGCCUCCUAAACGAACUCUAGUGGACCACACUCUAUUUGCAUCGUCACUUUGAAGGACACUCCAACCCCACUGCUCACCAUGACAACUGGCAACAAUUCUGCAGAUGGGAAAUGAGAAAACACAGACGGCAUCCAAAUUUCUGAACCAAAAGACAAGGGUGACAAGAAUUCUUUGCCCUCAACUCACUUGGAAAGCUGGAGGUAGACAAGUAUAGCCCCAUCCCCAGAAAAAAUAAAAAUAAAAAGAAGAAAA
This is a non-coding RNA of Rattus norvegicus (Norway rat), 552 nucleotides long. NCBI's taxonomy places the organism in Eukaryota, Metazoa, Chordata, Mammalia, Rodentia, Muridae. The record is from RefSeq and is a predicted model, not a curated record.